ACCGACCGCUAGGGGAGUGUCAUACUGAGAGUUCCGUCACCAGCGGAACGACCCUUGGAACCUGAUCCGGAUCAUACCGGCGGAGGGAAGCGGCGAUGACGGUUC
RNAcentral lists this non-coding RNA (105 nucleotides) under Desulfuromonadales bacterium. RNAcentral's name for it is "TPP sequence". It matches the Rfam family "TPP riboswitch aptamer (THI element)". From Rfam's summary of the family: Vitamin B(1) in its active form thiamin pyrophosphate (TPP) is an essential coenzyme that is synthesised by coupling of pyrimidine and thiazole moieties in bacteria. The record is from RNAcentral. Lineage: Bacteria; Pseudomonadati; Thermodesulfobacteriota; Desulfuromonadia; Desulfuromonadales.